This 738-nucleotide long non-coding RNA is filed under the name Citrus x clementina. RNAcentral describes it as "Citrus clementina (C. clementina) long non-coding RNA (CCLE_LNC002236)". Lineage: Eukaryota; Viridiplantae; Streptophyta; Magnoliopsida; Sapindales; Rutaceae. The record is from RNAcentral.
CCAUUUUAACCCUAGUGAAUUAUUUUUCUUGAUUUGCCACUAUAUAUAUGAAACAAAUUUUUGAGUGAUGUUGUACAUACAUAGUUAAAAUUUAUAAUUUGUAAUCCAAAUGAUAAGGUAUAAUAACAUGUCAUCAUUUGGUAGGUGGUGGUAUUAUCAUACUAAUGACGAAAAACAAAGUCAACAUAUGUAUAUUAAUUAAUAAUUAAUGACACGUGAAUUGGGAUCUAAAUUAUGUAUCAUAAUUAUGUGAUUCUAGUAUUUUUGUAAAUUUCUGGGCAUUAAUUUAAGUCUUUAUAUAGCUACACCCUUAUUAUUGAAUUUAAUUUUAUGAAAGAGUUACAAGCAAUAUUGUCCACAAAUUGAUGGGCAGUUUUCAGGAUUGUCAAGUGUUGUGUUACGUAUAUUAUCACUUCUUGUUGUUUUUCUUAAGGGUGAAGGUAUUUGCACUUUAAAAUUUAGGGUGAAGCUAUUUGCACUUUAAAAUUUAUUUUGAACACUCUUAUUUUAAUAAAAUAAUUUACUACAAAAUUACUCAUCGUAUAAAUUACUAUUAAGGAUAAUUUAUUUAUGAGCCAGUACAAUUUAAUUACUUUAAACACUCAUAUAAUACACUCAUUGUUUAACAUAUAACCUUUUAUAUCUAACAUCUUAAAAAAUAAUUCAUUGAACAUGCGGCAAAUCAAUAUUUUAAAUAAUUUUGAAGACAAAAUAUUUGUAAGAGUUACAUUUUUCAAG